GGGGGCGUAGUUCAAUUGGCAGAGCAACGGUCUCCAAAACCGUCUGUUGCAGGUUCAAAUCCUGUCGCCCCUG
RNAcentral lists this transfer RNA (73 nucleotides) under Candidatus Falkowbacteria bacterium CG10_big_fil_rev_8_21_14_0_10_39_11. RNAcentral describes it as "tRNA-Trp". It matches the Rfam family "tRNA". From Rfam's summary of the family: Transfer RNA (tRNA) molecules are approximately 80 nucleotides in length. Their secondary structure includes four short double-helical elements and three loops (D, anti-codon, and T loops). The record is from RNAcentral. Lineage: Bacteria; Candidatus Falkowiibacteriota.